Symphalangus syndactylus (siamang) is the source of this 6814-nucleotide RNA transcript. It is a transcript of the gene named DExD/H-box 60 like, with no coding region annotated. Lineage: Eukaryota; Metazoa; Chordata; Mammalia; Primates; Hylobatidae. The record is from RefSeq and is a predicted model, not a curated record.
GGCUCAGAGCGCCCAGUCCGACGCUAGGCUCUGAACCCCUUCCACCAGGCUCUGCGCUCGGUCCCCUCUGCUCAUUUCCUCCCCGCGGGGCGUGCAGCUCAGACGCUCUUUGAACCUAGCAGGUUCGGUGGCCAGGGUGAGGAUUACGGGUGACGUCGGGUGUCGCUAGGGACCCUGGAGCGGAGCUGUCCCGCGGGGGUUCUAGGUUUCCUUCAACAUCCAGAUGGACCUGGCGGGGAGGUGGCCCGGUGGCUUCGUGCGCGCCGGGCACGGGGAGCUGGGGCGCUCGCUGGGCUCGGGCGGCAGCUUUGCGGGCAGGCGGAGGUCGGGCUUGGGGAGAGGUAGGGAAGAGGGACAACAGCCAUGAGAGAGGAGAGUGCUCAGGCAUUUAACGGGUCCUCCACCCGAGGGGGCCUGGGGAUCUGGGGUACUGAGGAGAAACUAAGGGUCAUCACAUCUGAGCACAGCCAGUCGAAUGUGGACGUUGACUGGCAGCAAGCCGCUUCCCUUUUUUCCGUCUUGGAUUUAAGCUUUUUUUUUUUUUUUUUUUUUGAGUCAGAGUCUCGCUCUGUCGCCCAGGCUGGAGUGCAGUGGCGCCAUCUUGGCUCACUGCAAGCUCCACCUUCCAGAUGUUCUCCUCCCUCACGCAAUUCUCCUGCCUCAACCUCCCGAGUAGCUGGGACCACAGGCGCCCGCCACCACGCCCGGCUAAUUUUUAAAUUUUUUUUAUUUUUAGUAGAGACGGGGUUUCACCGUGUUAGCCAGGAUGGUCUCGAUCUCCUGACCUUGUAAUCCGCCCGUCUCGGCCUCCCAGAGUGCUGGGAUUACAGACGUGGGCCACCACGCCCAGCCAGGAUUUCACUUUUGUACCCAUUUCUGUAGCAGUAAGGGAAUGCUAACUUCUGUAGCAAUUACAACUUGUAAAUUUCAGUGGCAUUACACAAUAGAAAUUUAUGUAUAUUGUCCUUCUAAGAGUUCAAAGCAGAUUUUCCUGGCCAGUGGGCCCCAUAGUGAUUCAGGGACCCAGUUUCUUCCAUAUGGUGGUUCCACUGUUCCCUGGAGUCUUAAUAUUCUUUGCACCUAACUUUUUAAAAGAGAAGAGUAGAGAAGGUGUACCUACUUCUCGAAAGUCUGGCUAUCACUUCCACUCACAUUCCACUGAGGUGCCAUUCACAUCAAAUGUAGCCAUUUUAGAGGUGCCAAAAUAAAAUAUAUCAGCCAUAUUUAAUAAAUUCCAGCUCUACUCUUCUACCCUAUAGCCCAAGAAGCAACAACGAUGGGGUUAAAGGAUCAUGCAGUAUUUUUCAGGGAAAUGACACAGUUAAUUUUGAAUGAAAUGCCAAGAGCUGGGUAUUCCAGCAUAUUAAAUGAUUUUGUGGAAUCUAAUUUUUUUGUGAUUGAUGGAGAUUCCUUGCUUGUCACAUGCCUGGGUGUAAAAUCAUUCAAGUGGGGACAGAACCUCCACUUUUUCUAUCUGGUUGAAUGCUAUCUUGUGGAUCUUAUGAGCAACGGAGGACAAUUCGCCAUAGUUUUCUUCAAGGAUGCUGAAUAUGCAUAUUUUGAUUUUCCUGAACUUCUUUCAUUGAGAACUGCUUUAAUUCUCCACCUUCAACACAAUACUAGCGUUGAUGUGCAAACGGAGUUUUCUGGAUGCUUAUCACAAGAUUGGAAGUUAUUCUUGGAACAGUAUUACCCAUAUUUUCUGAUAGUUUCAGAGGAAGGCCUGAGUGAUUUACAAAUGUAUCUUUUUAACUUCUUAAUUAUACAUUCCUGGGGAAUGAAAGUCAACGUUGUGCUUUCAUCAGGGCACGAAUCUGAUACUCUCAGACUUUAUGCACAUACUAUGGAAAGCACAGACAGAAACCAAACUUUUUUGAAGGAGAAUGAAACAGUGAUUCAGAGUGCAUAUAAAAGCCUCAUACAACAUUUAGAAGAAAGAAGGGUUUUAGCAUUAGCACCUCAUUUUGAACAUUUGAAAUGGAAUGAUAUGAUGGAAGAGGCAUAUCAGACUCUAUUUCUGCUUCAGCACCUAUGGUCAGAAGGAUCGGACAUCCAGCGUGUUCUCUGUGUCACUUCAUGUUCACUAUCCUUGAGAAUGUACCAUCGUGUCUUAGUGCACAGUAAUUGCCUAUCCCUGCAGGAGGUGGAAGAUUUCUGCAGACUGCGUUGCCUCUGUGUGGCUUUUCAACUCCACUUACCCCUUUCUCGGAGAGCUUGUUCUCGAGUCAUCACAUGCUCUUGGAUUGGGAACAGUGAUUCUUUCUUAAAAAUGAACAAGUGGUGUGAACAUUUCAUUUUAAGCAACUUAAACGCUUUUGGAUGCUGGAAUCUGAAUUUAAAUCGUGUUUCUGACUUGUAUGAUGAGCAAUUGUUAAAGAAUAUUGCCUUCUACUAUGAAUUCGAAAGUACUCAAGAACCACAUUUGAAUUUGGGAGAUUCCAUUAGGAGGGAUUAUGAACACCUGUGGAAUGUUGUGUCACACCUGGUUAAAGAAUUUAAUGUUGGAAAGCCUUUUCCUCUGAGAACAACAAGAAGACAUUUUCUUAGACAAGAGAAAUCGUUCAUUCAAGAAAUCUCCUUGGAAAAGAUGCCUAGUGUGGGUUUUAUUCCAAUGACAUCUGCUGUAAUUGAUGAGUUUGUUGGAGAUAUGAUGAAGGAUUUGCCUAUUCUAAAGAGUGAUGAUCCAGUUGUUCCUUCACUGUUUAAACAAAAGACAUCUGAUGAACUUUUGCACUGGCAGGCCCAAAGACUCCUUAGUGACGACUAUGACAGGAUCAAACGUCGUGUUGAUGAACAAUCGAGAGAUCCUCAUGUUCUUGAUUUCCUGAAAAAGAGUCGGGAUUAUCAGAAAUUUUAUGGGAAAUCGUUAGAAUCAAUCUCUGCAAAAGUCAUUGUGACUCAAACUACUCGGCCAAAGGAGGAUUCCAGUGGUGCCAGUGGUAAAAUAUUACAGAAUACCAAACCCCACCAAAUUACCAAAAAGAGUAAGAAAAAGUCAUUUCUCAAAGAAGAUCAGAACAAAGCUCAGCAAAUGGAUGAUCUGCUAUUUUCUAUUGAAGAGGAGAUGAAGAAGAAUUUACAUUCUGGAAUAAGGAAAUUGGAAGAUUAUUUGACAUCAUGUGCAAGUAAUUCAGUGAAAUUUGGAGUUGAAAUGUUAGGAUUAACUGUCUGCUUUAAAGCAUGGAAAGAACAUUGCCGAGGUGAAGGCAAAAUUUCAAAAGAUAUAAGUAUAGCUGUUCAAAUGAUGAAAAGGAUUCAUUCACUCCUGGAGAGAUACUCGGAAAUUUUGGAAGCAGAACAUCAUCAAUAUAUAGCUAAAUGCCUUAAAUAUUUAGGCUUUAAUGAUUUGGCAAACUCUUUGGAUCCAACUCUGAUAGGAGACGACAAAAAUAAGAAGAAAUAUUCGAUUGACAUUGGACCAGCUCGGUUUCAACUCCAAUACAUGGGCCAUUACUUGAUACGAGAUGAAAGAAAAGAUCCGGAUCCCAGGGUCCGGGAUUUUAUUCCCAACGCAUGGCAGCGAGAACUCCUCGAUGUGGUGGAUAAGAAUGAGUCAGCAGUGAUUGUUGCCCCAGUGUCAGCAGGCAAAACCUAUGCUUCCUACUACUGCAUGGAGAAAGUGCUGAGGGAGAGUGAUGACGGGGUGGUGGUGUACAUUGCACCUGCAAAGUCCCUUGUUGGUCAAGUGGCUGCAACUGUUGAGAAUCGUUUUACUAAAACGUUACCUGCUGGCAGAACUCUAUGUGGUGCUUUUACAAGAGAUUAUGGUCACAAUGUACUAAACUGUCAGGUACUUAUUACAGUGCCAGAAUGUUUUGAAAUCCUGCUGCUUGCUCCUCGUCGCCAAAAAUGGGUGGAAAGGAUCAGAUAUGUUAUAUUUGAUGAGGUCCAUUAUCUUGGCAGAGAAGUUGGAGCAAAAUUUUGGGAGCUCCUCCUUGUCAUUAUUCGAUGUCCUUUUUUGGUUCUUUCAGCUACCAUAAAUAACCCAAAUCUUCUCACCAAGUGGCUGCAAUCAGUAAAACAGUACUGGAAACAGGCAGACAAGAUUAUGGAAGAGAAAUUUAUUUCUGAAAAACAGGCUGACGAAUGUCUCAACUUUCUCCAAGACAAUUCAUAUAAAAAUCAAUCAUAUGAAGUUAGACUUGUGCUCUGUGGAGAGAGAUACAAUGAUUUAGAGAAGCAUAUAUGUUCAGUAAAACAUGAUGAUGUUUAUUUUGAUCAUUUUCAUCCCUUUGCUGCGCUAACGACAGAUAUUAUCGAAAAGUAUGGAUUCCCACCUGAUCUUACCCUCACCUCUCAAGAAAGCAUCCAGCUUUAUGAUACCAUGGCUCAAGUCUGGGAAACUUGGCCCAGGGCUCAGGAAUUGUGUCCAGAGAAAUUCAUUCUUUUUAAGAAUAAAAUAGUCAUUAAGAAGUUGGAUGCUAGAAAAUAUGAAGAAAACUUAAAGGCAGAAUUGACAAAUUGGAUUAAAAAUGGCCAAGUGAAGAAGGUCAAAAGAGUACUGAAGAACCUUAGUCCAGAUUCAUUGUCUAGUUCAAAAGAUAUGGUAAAAAUGUUUCCUCUUCUUGUUGAAAAGUUAAGACAAAUGGAUAAGUUGCCUGCAAUAUUUUUUUUGUUUAAGAAUGAUGAUGUGGGAAAAAGAGCUGGAAGUGUGUGCACUUUUCUGGAGAAGACAGAGACAAAAAGCCAUCCCCACACUGAAUGUCAUAGUUAUGUCUUUGGAAUAGACGAAGUACUUGAAAAAGUGGGGAAGACACGAAAAAGGAUUAGCAUUAAAAAAAACCCAAAGAAGGCUGAAAAACUGGAAAGAAAAAAAAUGUAUAUAGCUGAAUAUAUCAAUUUCCUGGAGAAUCUGAAGAUUCUGGAAAUCUCUGAGGACCGCACAUAUGCUGAUGCCAAAGCCCUACACACUGAGAUUACCAGGAAUAAAGGCUCAACUUUGGAUAGGGUAUUAAAACGAGUGCGAUUAACAAGACACGGUGAAGAACUGAAGGCUUUAGCACAAAGGGGGAUUGGAUAUCAUCACAGCGGCAUGUAUUUUAAAGAAAAAGAGUUCGUUGAGAUACUCUUUGUAAAAGGGCUUAUUAGGGUAGUGACAGCUACUGAAACACUUGCCUUAGGGAUCCACAUGCCAUGCAAAUCUGUUGUUUUCGCCCAAGACUCAGUCUAUCUGGAUGCUUUAAAUUACAGACAGAUAUCUGGUCGUGCUGGAAGAAGAGGUCAAGACCUGCUUGGUAAUGUGUAUUUCUUUGAUAUCCCAUUGCCCAAAAUAAAAAGACUCCUUGCAUCCAGUGUUCCUGAGCUGAGAGGACAGUUCCCUCUCAGCAUAACCCUGGUCCUGCGACUCAUGCUGCUGGCUUCCAGGAGAGAUGACCCAGAGGAUGCCAAGGCAAAGGUGUUGUCAGUGCUAAAGCAUUCAUUGCUGUCUUUUAAGAGACAAAGAGCCAUGGAGACUUUGAAACUUUACUUUUUGUUUUCCUUGCAGCUCCUGAUCAAAGAGGACUAUUUAAAUAAAAAAUGUAAUCCAAAGAAAUUUGCAGGACUUGCAUCAUAUUUGCAUGGUCAUGAACCUUCCAAUCUUGUUUUUGUAAAUUUUCUCAAGAGAGGCCUUUUCCAUAAUCUCUGUAAGCCAGCCUGGAAAGGCUCACGACAAUUUUCCCAAGAUGUGAUGGAAAAGCUCGUGUUAGUAUUGGCAAAUUUGUUUGGAAGAAAAUAUAUUCCAGCAAAAUUCCAAAAUGCUAAUUUAAGUUUUUCUCAGUCAAAGGUGAUCCUUGCUGAACUCCCGGAGGAUUUUAAAGCUGCUUUACAUGAGUAUAACCUGGCAGUAAUGAAGGAUUUUGCCUCCUUCCUACUGAUUGCUUCCAAGUCGGUGAACAUGACAAAAGAGUAUCAACUCCCUUUGUCAAGAAUCAAAUUCACAGGUAAAGAAUGUGAAGACUCCCAACUCGUGUCUCACUUGAUGAGCUGCAAGGAAGGAAGAGUAGCCAUUUCACCAUUUGUUUGCCUUUCGGGGAACACAGAUAACGAUUUGCUUCGACCAGAGACUAUCAACCAGGUCAUCCUGCGCACAAUUGGUGUUAGUGGCACUCAGGCUCCUCUGCCGUGGCCAUGGAAAUUAGAUAACCGAGGAAGGAGAAUGCCACUAAAUGCAUAUGUGCUCAAUUUCUAUAAACACAACUGCUUGACAAGAUUAGACCAAAAAAAUGGGAUGCGUAUGGGACAGCUUUUAAAGUGUUUGAAAGAUUUUGCAUCCAACAUUCAGGCUAUCAGUGUUUUGUUUCUCUUAAAGUUUACAUUAUACAUGCCUUAUAGAGAUAUUUGUCAAUGGGGAUAUCCAACUUGCAAGCAAAGAGGUCACCGCUGGACAGCUAUGGACUGCUGUGGGACAAUUUCAGAAGCUACUUACCCAAGAAGUCUAAUGUGGAAAGAUGUGGCUGUCACUCCCUGGGAAAACAAAUAGGAAAGAAUAUGACAAAAGAGGAAAUCAGCUGUUGAACCAAAGAAGGAUUUAAAUAUUUAAGAAAUGCCAACCACUGAAGACAGUUGCUCUGCAACUUAAAAUCCUGAGCCUCUUGACUGCAGUUUGGCUUCACUUCUGCAGGGACAUAAUACACCUCUACCAGGCCAUCCAUGGAUACCUCAGCAGCCUUCUGUUGCACACAGCCUUUGCAGACAAGAUCUUAACUGCUUCUACCCUUCUCCAGAAGCACAGGUGGGAAAAGAAAUUGCUUUGAAGGAGAAGAUUGUAACCGAAAUCAAGGGAGAAGAGGCACUUUGGAAGAGAGGGACUGUACAAACUAUCUUUCUAAUGCUG